Molecule: non-coding RNA, 115 nt
Organism: Triticum aestivum (bread wheat)
Lineage: Eukaryota; Viridiplantae; Streptophyta; Magnoliopsida; Poales; Poaceae
Source: Rfam
UAAGUACUCCCUCCGUUCGGAAUUACUCGUCUAAGAAAUGAAUGUAUCUAGAUGUAUUUUAGUUGUAGAUACAUUCAUUUUUGUGACAAGUAAUUCUGAACGGAGGGAGUACAUG